This is a small nuclear RNA of Cynocephalus volans (Philippine flying lemur), 104 nucleotides long. The record is from RefSeq and is a predicted model, not a curated record. Lineage: Eukaryota; Metazoa; Chordata; Mammalia; Dermoptera; Cynocephalidae.
GUGCUCACUUUGGCAACACAUAUUCUAAAAUUGGAAUGAUACAGAGAUUAGCAUGGCCCCUGGGCAAGGAUGACACGCAAAUUUGUGAAGCAUUCCAUAUUAAA